UCCGGGUGGAGCGGCGGACGGGUUAGUAACGCGUGGGAAUAUACCCAGUUCUAAGGAAUAGCCACUGGGAACGGUGAGUAAUACCUUAUACGCCCUUCGGGGGAAAGAUUUAUCGGAAUUGGAUUAGCCCGCGUUAGAUUAGAUAGUUGGUGGGGUAAUGGCCUACCAAGUCUACGAUCUAUAGCUGGUUUGAGAGGAUGAUCAGCAACACUGGGACUGAGACACGGCCCAGACUCCUACGGGAGGCAGCAGUGGGGAGUCUUAGACAAUGGGCGAAAGCCUGAUCUAGCCAUGCCGCGUGAGUGAUGAAGGCCCCAGGGUCGUAAAGCUCUUUCCACUGUGAAGAUAAUGACGGUAGCAGUAGAAGAAACCCCGGCUAACUCCGUGCCAGCAGCCGCGGUAAUACGGAGGGGGUUAGCGUUGUUCGGAAUUACUGGGCGUAAAGCGUACCUAGCCGGAUUAAUAA
This 466-nucleotide ribosomal RNA is filed under the name uncultured marine bacterium. RNAcentral describes it as "bacterial SSU rRNA". It matches the Rfam family "Bacterial small subunit ribosomal RNA", at positions 85 to 586 of the family's 1533-position model. The record is from RNAcentral.